This 497-nucleotide ribosomal RNA is filed under the name uncultured bacterium. RNAcentral describes it as "partial 16S ribosomal RNA". It matches the Rfam family "Bacterial small subunit ribosomal RNA", at positions 28 to 507 of the family's 1533-position model. The record is from RNAcentral.
GAUGAACGCUGGCGGCGUGCCUAAUACAUGCAAGUCGAGCGAACAGACGAGGAGCUUGCUCCUCUGACGUUAGCGGCGGACGGGUGAGUAACACGUGGAUAACCUACCUAUAAGACUGGGAUAACUUCGGGAAACCGGAGCUAAUACCGGAUAAUAUAUUGAACCGCGUGGUUCAAUAGUGAAAGACGGUUUUGCUGUCACUUAUAGAUGUAUCCGCGCCGCAUUAGCUAGUUGGUAAGGUAACGGCUUACCAAGGCGACGAUGCGUAGCCGACCUGAGAGGGUGAUCGGCCACACUGGAACUGAGACACGGUCCAGACUCCUACGGGAGGCAGCAGUAGGGAAUCUUCCGCAAUGGGCGAAAGCCUGACGGAGCAACGCCGCGUGAGUGAUGAAGGUCUUCGGAUCGUAAAACUCUGUUAUUAGGGAAGAACAAAUGUGUAAGUAACUAUGCACGUCUUGACGGUACCUAAUCAGAAAGCCACGGCUAACUACGUG